Dipodomys ordii (Ord's kangaroo rat) is the source of this 109-nucleotide small nuclear RNA. The record is from Ensembl. NCBI's taxonomy places the organism in Eukaryota, Metazoa, Chordata, Mammalia, Rodentia, Heteromyidae.
GUACUUACUUUGUGGCAUCACAUAUACUAAAAUUGGAACAAUAUAGAGAGGAUUGGCACGUCCUCUAUGCAAGGAUAACAUGAAAAUUUGUGAAUUGUUCUAUUUUUCA